GCCGGGCACAGUGGCGUGUGCUUGUAGUCCCAGCUACUAGGGAGGCUGAGGAAGGAGGAUCCCUUGAGCCCCAGAGUUCUGGGCUGUAGUACACUAUGCCGAUCAGGUGUCUGCACUAAGUUCGACAUCAACAUGGUGACCUCCCGGGAGCUGGGGACCACCAGGUUGCCUAAGAAGGAGUGAACCGGCCCAGGUCAGAAACGGAGCAGGUCAAAACUCCCAUGCUGAUCAGUAGUAGAAUCGAGACAGUGAAUAGUCACUGCACUCAUGGCCUGGGCAACAUAGCAAGAUCCUGUCUCUA
RNAcentral lists this signal recognition particle RNA (301 nucleotides) under Pteropus alecto (black flying fox). RNAcentral describes it as "Metazoan signal recognition particle RNA". It matches the Rfam family "Metazoan signal recognition particle RNA". Rfam says of the family: The signal recognition particle (SRP) is a universally conserved ribonucleoprotein. It is involved in the co-translational targeting of proteins to membranes. The record is from Rfam by way of RNAcentral. Lineage: Eukaryota; Metazoa; Chordata; Mammalia; Chiroptera; Pteropodidae.